GGUUAAUACGUUAGCAAGCGUGUGCUGGCUACAGGUUAAUACGUUAGCAAGCAUGUGCUGGCUACAGGUUAAUACGUUAGCAAGCGUGUGCUGGCUGUUUCUCUAUGGCUAUAUGAAGAUGACUGUCUCUAUGGCUAUAUGAAGAUGACUGUUUCUCUAUGGCUGUAUGAAGAUGACUGUUUCUCUAUGGCUAAAUGAAGGUGACUGUUUCUCUAUGGCUAUAUGAAGAUGACUGUUUCUCUAUGGCUGUAUGAAGAUGACUGUUUCUCUAUGGCUAUAUGAAGAUGACUGUUUCUCUAUGGCUAUAUGAAGAUGACUGUUUCUCUAUGGCUAUAUGAAGAUGACUGUUUCUCUAUGGCUGUAUGAAGAUGACUGUUUCUCUAUGGCUAUAUGAAGAUGACUGUUUCUCUAUGGCUAUAUGAAGAUGACUGUUUCUCUAUGGCUAUAUGAAGAUGACUGUUUCUCUAUGGCUAUAUGAAGAUGACUGUUUCUCUAUGGCUAUAUGAAGAUGACUGUUUCUCUAUGGCUAUAUUAAGAUGACUGCUUCUCUAUGGCUAUAUGAAGAUGACUGUUUCUCUAUGGCAUUAUUAUUAUUAUUUUUCAUAUAUAUAUAUAUAUAUUUUAACCUUUAUUUAACUAGGCAAGUCAGUUAAGAACAAAUUCUUAUUUUCAAUGACGGCCUAGGAACAGUGGGUUAACUG
Molecule: long non-coding RNA, 701 nt
Organism: Oncorhynchus tshawytscha (Chinook salmon)
Lineage: Eukaryota; Metazoa; Chordata; Actinopteri; Salmoniformes; Salmonidae
Source: Ensembl